GAUGAACGCUGGCGGCGUGCCUAAUACAUGCAAGUCGAGCGAACGGACGAGAAGCUUGCUUCUCUGAUGUUAGCGGCGGACGGGUGAGUAACACGUGGAUAACCUACCUAUAAGACUGGGAUAACUUCGGGAAACCGGAGCUAAUACCGGAUAAUAUUUUGAACCGCAUGGUUCAAAAGUGAAAGACGGUCUUUCUGUCACUUAUAGAUGGAUCCGCGCUGCAUUAGCUAGUUGGUAAGGUAACGGCUUACCAAGGCAACGAUGCAUAGCCGACCUGAGAGGGUGAUCGGCCACACGGGAUCUGAGACACGGUCCAGACUCCUACGGUAGGCAGCAGUAGGGAAUCUUCCGCGAUGGGCGAAAGCCUGACGGAGCAACGCCGCGUGAGUGAUGAAGGUCUUCGGAUCGUAAAACUCUGUUAUUAGGGAAGAACAUAUGUGUAAGUAACUGUGCACAUCUUGACGGUACCUAAUCAGAAAGCCACGGCUAACUACGUG
RNAcentral lists this ribosomal RNA (497 nucleotides) under uncultured bacterium. RNAcentral describes it as "partial 16S ribosomal RNA". It matches the Rfam family "Bacterial small subunit ribosomal RNA", at positions 28 to 507 of the family's 1533-position model. The record is from RNAcentral.